GACGAACGCUGGCGGCGUGCUUAACACAUGCAAGUCGAACGGAAAGGCCCUGCUUUUGUGGGGUGCUCGAGUGGCGAACGGGUGAGUAACACGUGAGUAACCUGUCCUUGACUUUGGGAUAACUUCAGGAAACUGGGGCUAAUACCGGAUAGGAGCUCCUGCUGCAUGGUGGGGGUUGGAAAGUUUCGGCGGUUGGGGAUGGACUCGCGGCUUAUCAGCUUGUUGGUGGGGUAGUGGCUUACCAAGGCUUUGACGGGUAGCCGGCCUGAGAGGGUGACCGGCCACAUUGGGACUGAGAUACGGACCAGACUCCUACGGGAGGCAGCAGUGGGGAAUAUUGCGCAAUGGGCGGAAGCCUGAUGCAGCAACGCCGCGUGCGGGAUGACGGCCUUCGGGUUGUAAACCGCUUUCGCCUGUGACGAAGCGUGAGUGACGGUAAUGGGUAAAGAAGCACCGGCUAACUACGUG
This 468-nucleotide ribosomal RNA is filed under the name uncultured bacterium. RNAcentral's name for it is "partial 16S ribosomal RNA". It matches the Rfam family "Bacterial small subunit ribosomal RNA", at positions 28 to 507 of the family's 1533-position model. The record is from RNAcentral.